UCUUCAGUGCAAAUACGUCACCGACUUUUUCUCUCUAUCACAUCUCUAUUGCAAAUAAGUUGCUGGCUUUAUCUUCGAUGCAAACACAUUGUGAACUCUCUCUCUCUAGUGCAAACACCAUAUCGGCAUUUACUUCUCUCCCUCCCUCCCUUUCUUUCUGGUGCAACCAUUUUGUUGUAAUUGUUUGGGAUAUACUAAUUGGGUGCAAGGUAUCUUUUCACUAUUGUUACUUCAUUAGAGGCAAAAUAUUUUAGUGGAUGUAUAAAAUAUAUAUGAAAUAUUGUAAAAAAUUUAUGAUAUAGAAAAUAUAGAGACCGUUCAAUUA
RNAcentral lists this long non-coding RNA (325 nucleotides) under Elaeis guineensis (African oil palm). RNAcentral's name for it is "long non-coding RNA (EGUI_LNC008937)". Lineage: Eukaryota; Viridiplantae; Streptophyta; Magnoliopsida; Arecales; Arecaceae. The record is from RNAcentral.